AACUGAUACUACCUGCGGGAACCUGCGGAAGGAUCAUUACCGAGUUUUCAACUCCCAAACCCCAUGUGAACUUAUACCAUUUACACCGUUGCUUCGGCGGGUUCUCGCCCCGGGCUUUACAACCCCGGAACCAGGCGGCCCGCCGGGGGACCCAAACUCUAGAUUUUAUUUUAGCAUGUCUGAGUGGAAUCAUUACAAAAUGAAUCAAAACUUUCAGCAACGGAUCUCUAGAUCGGAAGA
This 240-nucleotide unclassified non-coding RNA is filed under the name soil metagenome. RNAcentral's name for it is "partial contains 5.8S ribosomal RNA, internal transcribed spacer 2, and large subunit ribosomal RNA". The record is from RNAcentral.